UGCUAUUGUAAUCCAGAAUCCGA
This 23-nucleotide non-coding RNA is filed under the name Arabidopsis thaliana (thale cress). The record is from RNAcentral. Lineage: Eukaryota; Viridiplantae; Streptophyta; Magnoliopsida; Brassicales; Brassicaceae.